RNAcentral lists this ribosomal RNA (498 nucleotides) under uncultured bacterium. Its description in RNAcentral is "partial 16S ribosomal RNA". It matches the Rfam family "Bacterial small subunit ribosomal RNA", at positions 29 to 507 of the family's 1533-position model. The record is from RNAcentral.
ACGAACGCUGGCGGCGUGCUUAACACAUGCAAGUCGAACGGGCCCGCCCCUGUUUUUGGGGGUGGGUUGAGUGGCGAACGGGUGAGUAUCACGUGAGUAACCUGCCCCCUGCUCCUGGAUAACUGCUUGAAAGGGCGGCUAAUACGGGGUGUGCCGGCUGGUCCGCAUGGGCCUGGUCGGGAUAGUUUCAUCUUCGGGUGUUUCGGUGGGGGAUGGGCUCGCGGCCUAUCAGCUUGUUGGUGGGGUGAUGGCCCAGCAAGGCGGUGACGGGUAGCCGGCCUGAGGGGGUGGGCGGCCACACGGGGACUGAGACACGGCCCGGACGCCUGCGGGAGGCAGCAGUGGGGGGUAUUGCGCAAUGGGCGGAAGCCUGAUGCAGCGGCGUCGCGUGAGGGAUGGAGGCCUUCGGGUUGUGAACCUCUUUCUCCGGUGGUGAAGGCCCUGUCCGUUGCGGCGGGGUUGACGGUAGCCGGGUAUGAAGCGCCGGCUAACUACGUG